This 1307-nucleotide long non-coding RNA is filed under the name Parus major (Great Tit). RNAcentral describes it as "lncRNA (ENSPMJG00000011134.1)". The record is from RNAcentral. Lineage: Eukaryota; Metazoa; Chordata; Aves; Passeriformes; Paridae.
AGAAGGCUAUUCAAGAAAUUCAGAUUUUUGAUUUGCAUAAGUUCAUCGUGAUAGUAUUUGAAUGCCUGGCACUGAUGCCUUAAGUGAUUGUGAUUAGUAUAUAUCAUGUGAUGGUUACUCUUCACCCCUGCAUUAGAGUGAACUGUGUUCCUUGGAAAGGUUUAUUUUGCUACAACUUUGUCAGUUUUGGUUUUGUUUAGCUUUGUUUUCUUGUAAAAAUGCACGUGUUAUUCUAUAUUUAUUUUAGAGAAGGCAAGGUUAGAGAGACAAAAUAAAUAUUCCGUAAUUAUUUUAGAGAGACACAGUUAGGUCGAGGGAGGUCAUUCCCUCACAGGUUGACCAGUUCUGCUUCCACAGAUAAGCUUUGCCCUAGUUUUAGAGAGGUUCAGUUGCAGCAGAAGAGCAAACUUAGCGAGUGCAGGUUUUAUUGAGGGCUUUAAGCAGUAUUUAAGAUACUUUGGACUCAAUAUGAGAAUUAUUUGAAUGACUGAUCCCAUUGUGAACUCCAUUUUUGUUGUGUUUGAAAAGACAACAUGAGAUCUGAAGGAAAAGUCUGAUUUCUCAUGGUCUGCUCUACUAUAUGAAGCGCUGUGUGAAUCUCUGGUGUACAACAUACACCAGAUACAUCACACUAGUGAUAAAGGAGUAAACAGCUGCAGUCAGUCACAGAUAGGCAUGAAACACAUUCCAGCCAACUGCAGAAUCCAUGUGGAAGUCCUCAUGCAACAAAUUAGCAUUGACCGGGAAUGACUACUCCACAAACAAAGACCAAGAGGACCGUGCCAGGGGAGCAUGAAGAUGUCACCCAUGCUGUGUGUAGGACUGCCAGUAGCACGGAUGGUCUCUCUGCAGGGGUGGCAUGGAGGAACAGCCCCGCACCAGAAAGAUGUUUUAAAACAGUGUACAAAGAAAAUGAAUGGUGUGCCUGGGGUAGGCUGCUAGGCUCAGAGGAAAGGCUAUGAAUAAAGGUAUCAUAUAUCCUUCUGUUUUUUAAUCUACACUAUUGUUAUUUACCACAAACUGAUCUAUUUUUUUAUUGCUUCAUUUGCAGCUGGAUUGAAAUUAUUUGGUUUAAUGGUAAUUUUUGAUUCAGGAACAGAUGUGCCUUACAUUGUUUCAGAUAAGACUGACACCAAGCAGGAUUGUUGGAGGAGCGUUCUGGCUAGCCAAUAGGCACUUCUGCCUUCUCUACUUUCAGGCUGCAGGUUGUUGAUGAUGCUGGACCAAGCUUCAUUUGCCAUUGUUAUGAUUUUUAGAAGGAGCAGUGUGUCAUUAUGUCCCUGGAAGCUGGAUGUUAUAAAGGGAAG